RNAcentral lists this non-coding RNA (1272 nucleotides) under Gasterosteus aculeatus (three-spined stickleback). Its description in RNAcentral is "Eukaryotic large subunit ribosomal RNA". It matches the Rfam family "Eukaryotic large subunit ribosomal RNA", at positions 1 to 1906 of the family's 3401-position model. Lineage: Eukaryota; Metazoa; Chordata; Actinopteri; Perciformes; Gasterosteidae. The record is from Rfam by way of RNAcentral.
AUUCCCCUCACCCACCUGGGCGAGGUGGGCCGAGCCGACGGCCAGUACGGCGACUUCUGGUCGCCGUACUGGCCGAGUUACGCGUGUUCCGUUUGGGAAGGUGUUGCUCCAGCGGGGGUCCGUUGUUGGCCGUCCCACUGAGCCUCAGCCCAUGGACGGCGUGAGAUCGUCUCUUGGGUUAUUUGGAAAACAGCCGAAAGUGGGUGGUCAACUCCAUCCGAGGCUAAAUACUGACACGGGACUGAUCAAAAAGUACCUUUAGGGAAAGUUAAAAAUAACUUUGGAGCGAGAGUUCAACAGGGGGUGAAACCGUUGAGGGUCAACAGGCAUUUCCACUGCGCUGCGACCAGGUCUCAACAGGACCUGUGCAAAGGUGGCUCGCGUCUCCGGCCACAUCAUAAAGGCUCGCUGUGCCCCCUCUCCCUGCCGGGGAGGGACGGGCUCCCGGCGCAACUGUUGACUGGGGCAGCCAGUCCUCGGUGCGCCCGUAAGUCAGCAAGACGGCCGACCCGUCUUAAAACACAGUCCAAGGGUUAGUCUACUGCCCGUGAGUCAGCGGGUGCAAUAAAACCCUGUGGCGCAAUGGAAGUGAAGGCCGGCACGCGCCGGCUGAGUUGAGACGCCGGCCCUUUGGGGUCACCGCCCCAGCUGUUUCCCUCAGGAUGGCUGCCGUUCAGCGUCUGUCGCAGUUUUAUCUGGUGAAGCCAAUGAUUAGAGGUCUUGGGGCCAAAACAAUCACAAGCUGGGUAAGAACGUGAGCCGCCGACUGGACCACUUUCUGCGAGAUGAAUGGAACAUCCUACGCCGACACUCAUCAAACCCUGGAAAAGUUGUUGGCCAAUACAGACCGCUGUAGAGUGGCCAUGCAAGUCGGAAUCUGCUGAGGAGUGAGUAACAUCUGCCGAAUGCGCUAUCCCUGGAAAUGGACGCGGCUGGAGCGCCAGUCCCAUUGUGAACAACAGGUUAGGUUCAGAUCCCCGGACCUAGCGUGGCGGAGACGGGCGCCAGAGCCUGUUCUACCAGGUGAACAGGCUCUGGCUUGUGAAAUGCAGAUAAAGUUACUUAAAUCAGAUCUUGAGCCAUUCAACCUCAGGUGUGCGGGCGGCAGCCUGUUGUGGUUGCUCUAUGGUCGCACACUUUUCUUUUGCUGUGUAUUGGUUUCGUAUAUACGUUGUUUAUUUUAGGCUGCGUUAAAAACAUCUGGCUGGGGACAGCAGAUGGACAUGAGCCACUCUGGCUCACCUGCAGUACACCUGUUGAUAAGUGUGCGUU